Molecule: ribosomal RNA, 253 nt
Filed under: uncultured bacterium
Lineage: Bacteria
Description: partial 16S ribosomal RNA
Rfam family: Bacterial small subunit ribosomal RNA
Source: RNAcentral
UACGGGGGGGGCAAGCGUUGUUCGGAAUUACUGGGCGUAAAGGGCUCGUAGGCGGCCAACUAAGUCGGAUGUGAAAUCCCCAGGCUCAACCUGGGAACUGCAUCCGAUACUGGAUGGCUUGAAUCCGGGAGAGGGAUGCAGAAUUCCAGGUGUAGCGGUGAAAUGCGUAGAUAUCUGGAGGAAUACCGGUGGCGAAGGCGGCAUCCUGGACCGGAAUUGACACUGAGGAGCGAAAGCCAGGGGAGCAAACGGG